GGGGCUGCAAUGGUUUCGACGGGGCAUGAGGAGGGUGACUGAAGCCUGCUCGGUCAGAGCGAACCCGUAACAGCGAACAACAUCGUUCGUUUCUCCCGUCAAGCCGCCCCUGUGGCUGCCUGACACUCUUAACGGAGACGGGGUGAGGUCAGCCUUGUCACCCAAAUGACCCAUGGGG
This 178-nucleotide transfer-messenger RNA is filed under the name Cyanobium sp. PCC 6904. RNAcentral's name for it is "transfer-messenger RNA Cyano_sp_6904". It matches the Rfam family "Cyanobacteria transfer-messenger RNA", at positions 99 to 275 of the family's 288-position model. Rfam says of the family: Bacterial tmRNA, also known as 10Sa RNA or SsrA, is named for its dual tRNA and mRNA-like properties. The record is from RNAcentral. Lineage: Bacteria; Bacillati; Cyanobacteriota; Cyanophyceae; Synechococcales; Prochlorococcaceae.